RNAcentral lists this ribosomal RNA (454 nucleotides) under uncultured bacterium. RNAcentral describes it as "bacterial SSU rRNA". It matches the Rfam family "Bacterial small subunit ribosomal RNA", at positions 340 to 787 of the family's 1533-position model. The record is from RNAcentral.
UACGGGAGGCAGCAGUGGGGAAUAUUGCACAAUGGGCGCAAGCCUGAUGCAGCCAUGCCGCGUGUAUGAAGAAGGCCUUCGGGUUGUAAAGUACUUUCAGCGAGGAGGAAGGCGUUGUGGUUAAUAACCGCAACGAUUGACGUUACUCGCAGAAGAAGCACCGGCUAACUCCGUGCCAGCAGCCGCGGUAAUACGGAGGGUGCAAGCGUUAAUCGGAAUUACUGGGCGUAAAGCGCACGCAGGCGGUCUGUCAAGUCGGAUGUGAAAUCCCCGGGCUCAACCUGGGAACUGCAUCCGAACUGGCAGGCUAGAGUCUUGUAGAGGGGGUAGAAUUCCAGGUGUAGCGGUGAAAUGCGUAGAGAUCUGGAGGAUACCGGUGGCGAAGGGCGGGCCCCUGGGACAAGACUGACGCUCAGGUGCGAAAGCGUGGGGAGCAACAGGAUUAGGAAUAACC